This 480-nucleotide ribosomal RNA is filed under the name Triticum aestivum (bread wheat). RNAcentral's name for it is "partial small subunit ribosomal RNA". Lineage: Eukaryota; Viridiplantae; Streptophyta; Magnoliopsida; Poales; Poaceae. The record is from RNAcentral.
ACAAGAUGGAUCCCUCCUUCGCCCGGAGUGGCAAAACUGAGAGUGGACGGGGCUCUUUCCAGGGAUUUGAGCACAGGAUCCUUUAGCGCUGUGUGUAGAAAUUCCGAUGGUGUGUUUCUGGGGGCUUCAUGCAUGACAUAUAAUGGAUUGUCUGAUCCAGCUACUUUGGAGGCGUUAGCAUGCCGCGAAGUGUUGGCACUGGCAGCAGAUCUUCAGUUGAUGCGAGUGCUGAUUGCUUCUGACUGCCAAGGGGUUGUUAGAGCUAUUCAAGAAGGCACGGGUGGAAUUUAUGCACCGGUUGUAAAGGAAAUCAGAGAUUCCAUAGUUGAUUUUCAACAGUGUUCCUUCAUCUUCGAAGGACGAGAGACAAAUGUCGAGGCACAUAGCCUUGCUAAACAUGCUUUUGGUCUGGGGCCCGGGCGCCAUCUGUGGCUUAUAAACCCGCCAGACAUCGAUUGUAUUCCUAUGAACUUUGAUUAA